Small nucleolar RNA from Dioscorea cayenensis subsp. rotundata (Guinea yam), 107 nucleotides. The record is from RefSeq and is a predicted model, not a curated record. Lineage: Eukaryota; Viridiplantae; Streptophyta; Magnoliopsida; Dioscoreales; Dioscoreaceae.
AAGUGAUGAUGGGGGCAUCUUCGAAGGAGCUCUUUGAAUCUCUCAUAUGCUUCAAAUAAUAUUUUCGACUCUCCUUGCUUAAACACUGAAGUUUUUUGCCUUAUAUU